RNAcentral lists this ribosomal RNA (253 nucleotides) under uncultured bacterium. Its description in RNAcentral is "partial 16S ribosomal RNA". It matches the Rfam family "Bacterial small subunit ribosomal RNA", at positions 524 to 776 of the family's 1533-position model. The record is from RNAcentral.
GACGUAGGUGGCGAACGUUAUCCGGAAUUAUUGGGCGUAAAGGGCGCGUAGGCGGCGCGGGGAGUCAACGGUGAAAGCUCGGCGCUCAACGCCGAGUCGGCCGUCGAUACUCCCGUGCUCGAGCACUGUAGAGGCAGGUGGAAUUCCGGGUGUAGCGGUGGAAUGCGUAGAGAUCCGGAAGAACACCGGUGGCGAAGGCGGCCUGCUGGGCAGUAGCUGACGCUGAGGCGCGACAGCGUGGGGAGCAAACAGG